GGCGAAAUAGCUCAGUUGGAGAGCGUUAGACUGAAGAUCUAAAGGUCCUGUUCGAUCCCGGGUUUCGGCA
This 70-nucleotide transfer RNA is filed under the name Trichonephila clavata. It matches the Rfam family "tRNA". From Rfam's summary of the family: Transfer RNA (tRNA) molecules are approximately 80 nucleotides in length. Their secondary structure includes four short double-helical elements and three loops (D, anti-codon, and T loops). The record is from Rfam by way of RNAcentral. Lineage: Eukaryota; Metazoa; Arthropoda; Arachnida; Araneae; Nephilidae.